Molecule: non-coding RNA, 1165 nt
Organism: Arachis ipaensis
Lineage: Eukaryota; Viridiplantae; Streptophyta; Magnoliopsida; Fabales; Fabaceae
Source: RefSeq, a predicted model, not a curated record
CUAACCUUUUUCCAUAGAACAACAAAUAUCAAUAAUAAUAAUUAGAAAAACAAAAGUCAGUCGCAACCGUCACUCUCUUUUUCUCCUCUGCGAUGGGGAAAUCAUUUCAAUCUUUUUCUCCUCUUCGGAUUGUGUCAUCUGUAAAGUCGCAACGCCCAAGGCUGACGCAACCGCCCAAACCAUCCCCGUCUCAAUCUCCCACUAAGGAGCACCAACGGACGCCCCUCGCCGCGGUGGUUGCCGACUGUGCAAGGCGGUGGUUCCAUGAGACACUCCAGGAGGCCAAGGCUGGCGACGCCGCCAUGCAGGUUCUCGUUGGACAGAUGUAUUACAGUGGCUAUGGCGUUCCUAGAAAUCCGAAGAAGGGGUAUGAUUGGAUUAGUAGAGUAUCCAGAAUUCGGAGCUCAGUUUGGAAAGUGAACAAAAAGCGUCCAGGUUACAGAGCAAGUGAUUCAGAUUCAUGUGAACCGGAGGUCAAAACGAAAUCUUGUCGUUAAUUUGUAAUACAAGCAAGGAAGAUUGAUGCAGUUGCAUGUUGAGACUUCAAAUGUUAUAUCCUUUUAGAAAUCAAUUUUAUUUUAUUCUUUUAGGUGAUCCUUUUGUUGUUUUGCCUAUGGGUAAAAAUUAAUUCACUUACAUGAGACAUCCAAAAUAGAUGCUAGUUCCCAGCUCUAGACUUCCUUUGAAUUUUGCUCAUCCUUGUUCCGAAUGAUACUGCCUGAAUGUGUUGGACAGACGAGGUUAAGAAGGCAGUUGCACUUUCUUUCUAGGCAUUGAUUGGAUUAGUUGUUCUUCCUCUUUCGAUGUUCAUGAGUUUAAUAACACUAAUCUGAUUUUAUUUUGGUCCCAUCUGCUUCAUAUAUUGCAUUGUCUUUGUUACUGCCAAGGCACCAAUAAUUGCUACAAGAUGGUCACAAUGACAUCACCAGAAGUCCAAAACAAAGGAAUAAAUAAGAAGUGAUAUGAUGUCAACAACAUGAGACAUUUUGGUAUUCUGAUAUACAGUGUAUACACAGCUUAUUUUUAUAUAUUUUAUUGCAUGUCCCAUUUCUUAAAUAACUCUUGCCUCAAUUUCUUUCAAAUUGUAAGUAUCUAUGUUAAUCCUCACAAUUGUAAUUGUAGUCCUAAACCCUAAACCUUAUUUUUAUAUCUUUUUCCUAAACAC